UUGAGGUGUAAAAUUUAAUUAAAAGAAUUUACUUGAGUAUUACGAGUUGCAUAAAGAUAAUUUGUUGCAGGAAUCUUAAAACUCAAAAGACUUGGCGGUAUUUUAGGUCCUUCUAGGGGAACCUGUCCUGUAAUCGAUAGUCCACGAUUUACCUUUCCUUUUCUUGAAAUGUUCAGCUUGUAUACCGCCGUCGUCAGAUUACCUUUAAGAGUUAAAUAAGUUAUCGGAAGGACUUUUGUAGAUUGGUGUUAUAUUUCAGAUUAUAAAAUUUGAAAUUUAAUACUAUAAAAACAGUUUUCUGGAUGUCAGAUCAAGGUGCAGCUAAUGAAAAGGUAGAGAUGGGUUACAAUAAUUAUUUAUUAUUAACGGAUUUCUUAUUGAAAAUUAUAAGAAUUGAAGGCGGACUUAGAAGUAAUUUAUAAAAAUAGAAAAUUUAGGUGAAAAUGGCACUAAGAUGUG
This 459-nucleotide ribosomal RNA is filed under the name Tegula pellisserpentis. Its description in RNAcentral is "partial 12S ribosomal RNA". Lineage: Eukaryota; Metazoa; Mollusca; Gastropoda; Trochida; Tegulidae. The record is from RNAcentral.